This 110-nucleotide ribosomal RNA is filed under the name Oceanobacillus oncorhynchi subsp. incaldanensis. Lineage: Bacteria; Bacillati; Bacillota; Bacilli; Caryophanales; Bacillaceae. The record is from RNAcentral.
GGUAGCGAUAGCGAAGAGGUCACACCUGUUCUCAUGCCGAACACAGAAGUUAAGUUCUUCAGCGCCGAUGGUAGUUGGGGGCUUCCCCCUGCGAGAGUAGGACGCCGCCA